CAGCAAUACAUGACGAGUAAGUAUGUAUUUUUUUUUAUUGAAAACUGUCAGCGGACGAAACAUCCUUACUAAACCACCUUUCUUCAAUUUAUUUGUUUACAUUUAUUAAAAAAUAAAUAAUAUAAAAAAAGAAGAUGUGGUAUGAUUGCCAAUGAGACAACUGUCCUCAAGAGACCAAAAUGACACAGACAUUAGGACCAUAUUAAAAUCAAAUUCUAAAACAAAAAGGUAUUCAUCACCUCACAAAACGUCAUGACAAAAGCAUUAGAAACCAAAAAUUAAGAAGAUGGAAAUUAAAAAAUGUUACACU
This 310-nucleotide long non-coding RNA is filed under the name Mytilus galloprovincialis (Mediterranean mussel). Lineage: Eukaryota; Metazoa; Mollusca; Bivalvia; Mytilida; Mytilidae. The record is from RNAcentral.